GGCUGUAGCUCAGUGGUAGAGCACUUGCCUCCUUGUGUAAGGCACUGGGUUCAAUCCUCAGCACCA
RNAcentral lists this transfer RNA (66 nucleotides) under Marmota monax (woodchuck). RNAcentral's name for it is "tRNA.Undet". Lineage: Eukaryota; Metazoa; Chordata; Mammalia; Rodentia; Sciuridae. The record is from RNAcentral.